GGUGAGACAGUGUCACCGUUCUGGGAAGAGCUAGUCUGGGAGAAGGAGUCAGGAUACUAGACCUGUCUGUGAGGCACUGGAUGACUCCAGAAGCUCAAGGAAGCUCAUGGUGAAGCCCCGAUUUGAAAUGGGACUUUGAAGAGGAAGCUCUAGGCCAGCAUGGCUCACAAGGAAGCUGGGUGGCGUUUCUCCUCCUCUCCCACCAUUGUGAAGGAUCUUCUUGCUGCUAGAGUGC
Molecule: long non-coding RNA, 235 nt
Filed under: Homo sapiens (human)
Lineage: Eukaryota; Metazoa; Chordata; Mammalia; Primates; Hominidae
Description: HSALNT0297623
Source: RNAcentral